RNAcentral lists this transfer RNA (72 nucleotides) under Nanobdellota archaeon. Its description in RNAcentral is "Nanoarchaeota archaeon tRNA-Asn". It matches the Rfam family "tRNA". Rfam says of the family: Transfer RNA (tRNA) molecules are approximately 80 nucleotides in length. Their secondary structure includes four short double-helical elements and three loops (D, anti-codon, and T loops). The record is from RNAcentral. RNAcentral also lists the same sequence under 1 other name. Lineage: Archaea; Nanobdellati; Nanobdellota.
GCCCCGGUAGCUCAGUGGUAGAGCGUCCGGCUGUUAACCGGAAGAUCGCAGGUUCGAAUCCUGCCCGGGGCG